This 4832-nucleotide long non-coding RNA is filed under the name Podarcis lilfordi (Lilford's wall lizard). Lineage: Eukaryota; Metazoa; Chordata; Lepidosauria; Squamata; Lacertidae. The record is from RNAcentral.
GGGCCAAACAGCACUUGUUAAAUCCUUUUUUAUGAAGGAUGGCAUACUAAUAAAAAUAAUAAUUUAUGGGAGGGGAGUGGCACUAGCAAGAAAUACGUUGCUAUUCAGGAUUCAAGCCUUCCAGCUAUGAUAUAUCUUAGAAGACUACAUUCUAUUCCAUUCUCCACCUUUUCUAUUCCACCCAGCAGUGACAGUGCAAUUCCAUACAUGUGUACUCAGAAGUAAGUCUCAUUGACCUCAAUGGGCUUACUCCUAGGUAAGUCAAUUUAAGAUUGCAGACUUAGUGUUCUGUGGCUCAUUGGGUUGUUAACUUGUGGAAGGGGAGGUUGGUCCCUUAGGGUCCUCUGUCAAAUAUUUUUUUCUUGUAUUUCUACAAACUUUGGUGUUCUGUCUGAUAGCUUCACCUUGACUGUCUGUGGCCUGGAUUUGGCUGCAAUUCUGUCUCCCUUCAUGCACAGAGCUUGCUAUUAGAGGAAGUGGUACAUUUCUUUUUUUAACCAAUUACCUAUUUUGUAAUUUUUAUAUUUUAACAUGUGUUCAGCUGCUAAGUUUUAUAAACUAGAAAGCCCUGAUUUGGGCCAAUGUCUUGGUCUGUUCCCUGUCUUACAUUGGACUCCAUCUGUUUUCAGGAGCCAUUGCCAAAAACAAAGGUUUGGGCAGGUACAAGUGAGAGAGGGCUGUUCAAGUAGGUUAAGACGAGGCAGAAUAAUUUGUUAAUAGUGGUGAAGGGUUAUCUGGAAGAUAUGAGAAAGCUAAACGAUGGGCAUAGCUACGAUAGUGAAAACCACAGUUAAAACCAUUAGUAGGUUUAGGUUGCUAGUCCCAUUGUAAAAAGCCCAGGAGGCUUUAAAAAUUAAGAAAUUCCAGUACAACCAGGUUUUGUCAUUGGAUAACAACCCCAUAUUUAUUUUCCAGACCACAAUAUAUUCUACCUGAAAAUAAUGGAGUGUUGAUUGUUAUGCUGCUAUGAUUAUUGUGCGGCAUGUAAUUCCACAAAGCUAAUUGACUCCUACUUGUUGGUGACAUAAGUGAUCAUUAAUGCUAUUUUUAAAAAAUCAAAAUUACUUGUUGUUUGUGUGUGCCUCCUCUAUAAGAGUAGUGUUUAUUAGUUUUGUUUAUUAGGUAGUCCUGAAAAUGUACAGUUACAAAAUAUAAGGAUUUCAAUUAUAUUUAUCAGCGCUUGAUUUCUAAACGUAACAGCCUUGGCAGUAAAUUCUCCCUAGAAGCAAUACGAUGUGUCCUAUAACCUUUCUUUUUAUGAUACUAUGUCUCCCCUUCUGUAUUACUACAUCAAAUAUAUUGAACAGGUCUUGAACCUGGCUCCAGGACCAAACCUGGUGAGCCCUGGAACACAUUUAAUUCUGCUUAAAAGAUCAGUACAGGAUAUACUGCUGCCCUAAAGAUUAAAAUUCUUCCCUUGGAGCAAAUCAUUGAAACUAGCUAGAUCUUCUCAUAUGUGUAUGCUCUUACUUUGCUCACUGCUUUGCUCCUGUUCUCUUUAAACAUUGAAAGAGCAAGCAAAUACAGUUGUGUGCUACUAUUGCUGUACUUGCAUUUUUCCUCAAAACUGUCAGGCUAGUUUGCCAGUAUUUGGGUCUUCGAAAUUUGUUUCUCUGUGAAGGCUCUAAUCCCUUUAAGGGUGAAAAUUCAAGGUAACAUAACUUUGAAGCACUUAAGAAAUGAAAUUACUUGUAUUCAAAAUGAGUUAAGAUUGAAAAGUAUUAGAAUAUUACAAUAAUAUAUUAAAACAAUUUCAUGUUCACCAUUUAGCUUUUGACUUAGGAUUUUGUAGAUUUAUUUUUUGCUUAUAGCAGAUAUUUAGGUACCCUUCAAAAUAAUUUUUUGCUUGCAGAACAAAUGGUUAUUUUCAUGUAUUUCAGUCUUCUCCUGUGUUCAUCAAAUCAAGUCCUUGAACACUCAUUCUUAUCUUUAUUGCUCGGCUAUCAGCGUUAGAAACUGAGAUACGAAAGCUAGGAGCUAAAUGGAUCCUUAAACCUAGGUUAUGGACAGAACAAUGGAAUGCCCAGGCAUGCUUUUUUUAAUAACACGAAUACAAAGCUGAAAAUGAACUAACUGCAGCUAAAACAGUAUGUUCAUUUUUCACAUGAUCUAGUCCUUCCCUUGCCCAACCACCUAAUAUUCUUAAAAGGCUCUUUUCUCCAGUCUUCAGAGAAUAGCUGGAAGUGACAGAAAAAGGUCCUCCUUUCCUUCCGCUCUGCAGUUUUUAUCUGAAAUCUUAGGUGCAGUACCGCACCCAGAGCUCAAACUGUUCGUGCUAAUGAAAUUCUCAGUUGCAAAAUGUGCCUAGAACAAUGGGAGUUUUGAACAUUGUCUGCUAUCUCAUCCAUCUCCAUUUUAUGGUUCUAGAACAGAUAAUUAAGCAGUCAAUCUGUGACCACUUAGAAAAGGAUGCUGUGAUUACCAAGACCCAGCAUGGGUUUUCUCAAAAGCAAGAAAUGCCAGAUGAAUCACAUUUCUUUUUUUGUUAGAGUUACAUGCUUGUUGGAUCAGGGGAAUGCUGUGGACAUAGUGUAUCUUGAUUUCACCAUUAUAUUCUUGUGCAGAAGCUGGUAAAAUGUGGACAGGAUAAGGUAACUGUUAGGUGGAUUUGUAGUUGUUUGGCUGACCAAACCCAAAGGGUACUCACUAAUUGUUCAACACCAUCCUAGAAAAAAGUGUUAAGUGGAUGCUGAAGGGUUCUGCCUCGGCCUAUUGUUGUUCAACAUCUUCAUAAGUGACUUUGAUGAAGAUAUUGAGGGAGUGCUCAUUAAAUUUGCAGAUGACACCAAACCGGAAAUGUAACCAAUCCCUCUAAAGGCAGAAUUGGGAUUCAGGAUGACCUUAACAGAUUGGGGAAUUGGGCCAAAAUUAACAAAAUGAAUUCCAGUAGGGAAAAAUGUAAGAUUCUACACAGGCAGGAAGAGCCAGUUCCACAGAUACAAUAGCAAAUGUGAAAAGGAUCUUGGGGUCUUAGUAGACCACAAGCUUAGCACGAGUUAACAGUGUGGUGCAGCAGCAAAAAUGCUAAUGCUAAUCUAGGCUGCAUCAACAAAAGUAGAGUGUCCCAAUCAAGGAAAGUAACAGUACUUUCCUUGAACAGUACCUUGCACACCUGAAGUACUGUGCCCAAUUCUGAGCACCACAAUUUAAGAAGGAUAUUCACAAGCUGAAAUGUGUGCAGAUGAGGGCAACAAAGAUGAUCACAGUUCUGGAAACUAAGUCUUAUGAGGAACGGUUGAGAGAGUUGGAUAUGUUUAGCCUGGAAAAGUAAAGUCUGAGAGGGAGAUAUGAUUGUCAUCUUCAAAUAUCUCAAGGGCUGUCACAUAGAAGAUGAAACAAACUUGUUUUCUCCUGUUCCAGAGGGUAGGACCUGAACCAAUGGCUUCAAGUUACAAGAAAGGAGAUUCCAACUAAACAUUAAAGACCUUUCUGACAGUAGGAGCUGUUGGACAGUGGAACAGUCUCCCUCAAGAGGUGGUAGACUCUCCUUCCUUGGAUUGUUUUAAGCAGAGGUUGGAUGGCCAUCUGUCAUGGAUGCUUUAGUUGAGAUUGCUGCAUUGUAGGGGGUUGGACUAGAUGAGCCUAUGGGUCCCUUCCAGCUCUACAAUUCUAUGAUUCUAAGCAUACAUUUUGUUUUCAAGUACUACUCACUCUUUCCCUCUCUGUCUCAAGUUUAAAGGAUUCAGAAUGGUGGUAGAAAAUAGAGAGCUGAGAAGAAAUUAAAACCAAAUCAGCAGUAAUAUCUUAUAGUUAAUUUCAUAGGUUUAAGAUAGAAGGUCUGUGCCUUUAACAAUGUUUUAUGAAUUAACCAAACACUGAAGUAUGUUGGCGUGAAUUAAUAAGCUAGUCUAUUUGUGUCUCUGUACUUAAGUCAAGUUUCUUGAAUGGUGUGUGGGGGGGGGGGAUAAUUGAAAAUACGUGUCUUGAAAAUACCUAUGAAGCAAUUGCUCAGUCGGUAGAGCAUGGGACUCUUAAUUUCAGGGUCAUGGGUUGGAAACAUGGGAAUCUCAGAGAAAUAAAAAAUGAUAGAUUUGUUCAUCCCUAAGAGCAGAAGUGAGGAAGCAUUGGCCACCCAGACACCCAGAUGUGGAUUUUUAGUUCAACAGAAACAUCUGGAGGGCCAAACGUUCCUCACCCCAGGUCAAGGACAUUAACAGAAUCAAGUUAUUAAAAACUCUUCUCCCCAUGCUGUACACGGAGGUAUACCAAGCAGAUAUUCUGUGUGAAUGGGUAGAACAGUAUUUGAAUAUUUUAAAUAAACAAAUUGACAUUAAUCAUCCUGGAGCAAAAAUAUCAGUUCUAAGAGAGAAUAUUCUCUCUUAGAGUAUUCUAUAUAAACUUUAUACAUUGCCUAGAAGUAUAAAUAUUUUGUUCAAAUGCUUUGAUUUUCAGUUGAAAUUGCUAGAACCUGUAGCCCAUUCUAAGUGUUGUUCCAUUGUAAAGGUAAGUAAUUCAGUGCUAUACGGGCUACUUCACUCAUCCAUUCCUUUCACUCCUCAUUGCUUUCCUGUCACUCAGCAUCUACUCCACAUACAUCUGGACCCUUAUCCUGAACAAAUAAUAAAUGCGGCUUCAGGCACUGACCUUGUUUGUUGCUAUUUGUUCCCGUGGUUUUAUGAUUGAUAGUACUGCUGUAGAUUUGAGAAAUUCCUUAAGUGACAGUCCUGAAACCCAUUCUCCGGUGGCCAGUUGUGAUUUCUUAUUGUUUAGUGGAACAACUCUGAAGCAUGUCCCUUCAGGAAGGUACUCACCUAUGCCAAUAUUAUAGUUAUAUGACUGCAGUUGGACUUGUAUUAAAUCUGCAGAACAUUAAUGAUACAGAUAAUAUAGAG